This 272-nucleotide ribosomal RNA is filed under the name uncultured bacterium. RNAcentral's name for it is "partial small subunit ribosomal RNA". It matches the Rfam family "Bacterial small subunit ribosomal RNA", at positions 26 to 285 of the family's 1533-position model. The record is from RNAcentral.
AGAAUCAACGCUGGCGGCGUGCCUAACACAUGCAAGUCGAACGCGAAAGCCCCGCAAGGGGUUAGUAGAGUGGCAAACGGGUGAGUAACACGUGGGUGACCUGCCUUCGAGUGGGGGAUAACGUCCCGAAAGGGACGCUAAUACCGCAUGAUAUCCUGCCUUUGGAAAGGUGGAGAUCAAAGCUGGGGAUCGUAAGACCUGGCGCUUGAAGAGGGGCCCGCGCCUGAUUAGCUAGUUGGUGAGGUAACGGCUCACCAAGGCUACGAUCAGUA